AACAGCUGAAAAAUGAAAAAACUAAAGUAAAAGAAGAUCCAAGACAUCAAAACGUGACAUCAGCUCCUGUCCGCUACUUUCAAUGUGUCUUCCUAAAUGGACCUAAUGGAUUUGGGCUGCAAUUUCCUAUUAAUCCCCCUUCAAACAAGGAAGAAAAGACUCACUCAAAGACUUCCAAGAGAAAGACAAGGAAACCGGGGCAGUAGAGAGACUGAGUCCUGUGAUCACUGACAUUUUGCACUUUAUCUUUUCUGCUGAGGUCCACAGUAGCUACAGUGGUACUUGUCAUUGCAAGAACGUGAUCCACUUGCACACAUGUACCUGGAAAAAGUUUCCAUGGGGCAGCGGCAGAACAAGCAGAACAAUGAACUGUUUUUAACAAAGAUAGAAAUGUAAAAGUGCCCAGUUUCUCAUGGAAAGGCUGCAAUGUUAACAAAGCAUUGAUGUGACUGUGUGUGUGAGCAUGUGUGUGUGUUUUCAUGCCUCUUUUGCUCUUGAUUUUCUUUACCUACAUGCUCAGCAUUGAA
Sturnus vulgaris (Common starling) is the source of this 527-nucleotide non-coding RNA. The record is from RefSeq and is a predicted model, not a curated record. NCBI's taxonomy places the organism in Eukaryota, Metazoa, Chordata, Aves, Passeriformes, Sturnidae.